Molecule: non-coding RNA, 29 nt
Filed under: Mus musculus (house mouse)
Lineage: Eukaryota; Metazoa; Chordata; Mammalia; Rodentia; Muridae
Source: RNAcentral
UGGUUCAUGCCUACAGUAUAAACAACACU